RNAcentral lists this ribosomal RNA (1116 nucleotides) under Umbelopsis nana. RNAcentral's name for it is "SSU rRNA". It matches the Rfam family "Eukaryotic small subunit ribosomal RNA", at positions 38 to 1150 of the family's 1831-position model. Lineage: Eukaryota; Fungi; Mucoromycota; Umbelopsidomycetes; Umbelopsidales; Umbelopsidaceae. The record is from RNAcentral.
CAAAGAUUAAGCCAUGCAUGUCUAAGUAUAAACAAGUUUAUACCGUGAAACUGCGAAUGGCUCAUUAAAUCAGUUAUAAUUUAUUUGAUAUUCACUUACUACUUGGAUAACCGUGGUAAUUCUAGAGCUAAUACAUGCGUACAUAACCUCGACUUCUGGAAGAGGUGCACUUAUUAGAUAAAAAGCCAACGCGGGCAACCGCUUGUAUGGUGAUUCAUAAUAAUUAAGCGAAUCGCAUGGCCUUGUGCCGGCGAUGAUCCAUUCAAAUUUCUGCCCUAUCAAGUUUCGAUGGUAGGUUAGUGGCCUACCAUGCUUUUAACGGGUAACGGGGAAUUAGGGUUCGAUUCCGGAGAGGGAGCCUGAGAAACGGCUACCACAUCCAAGGAAGGCAGCAGGCGCGCAAAUUACCCAAUCCCGACACGGGGAGGUAGUGACAAUAAAUAACAAUACAGGGCCUUUACGGGUCUUGUAAUUGGAAUGAGUACAAUUUAAAUCCCUUAACGAGGAACAAUUGGAGGGCAAGUCUGGUGCCAGCAGCCGCGGUAAUUCCAGCUCCAAUAGCGUAUAUUAAAGUUGUUGCAGUUAAAAAGCUCGUAGUUGAAUUUUGGCCUUGGUUUGUGAGGUUCGGCCUUCACUGGUCGGUACCUUUACGAACCGGGCUCCACCUUCUGGGUUAGCCAGUUGUUACUUCGGUGCAGCUGGUGAACCAGAACUUUUACUUUGAAAAAAUUGGAGUGUUUAAAGCAGGCUUUCAAGCUUGAACAUAUUAGCAUGGAAUAAUGAAAUAGGACUUUGGCCUUAUUUCGUUGGUUUCUAAAGCCAAAGUAAUGAUGAAUAGGGAUAGUUGGGGACAUUAGUAUUCAAUUGUCAGAGGUGAAAUUCUUGGAUUUAUUGAAGACUAACUUCUGCGAAAGCAUUUGUCAAGGAUGUUUUCAUUAAUCAAGAACGAAAGUUAGGGGAUCGAAGACGAUCAGAUACCGUCGUAGUCUUAACCAUAAACUAUGCCGACUAAGGAUCGGAUGGUGUUAUAUUUUAUAUUGACCCAUUCGGCAUUUCAGCGAAAGCCAAGUUUUUGGGUUCCGGGGGGAGUAUGGUCGCAAGGCUGAAACUUAAAGG